GCAAGUUCAACGGCCGCGGUAUUUUGACCGUGCAAAGGUAGCGCAAUCACUUGUCUUUUAAAUAGAGACCUGUAUGAAUGGCUAAACGAGGGCUUAACUGUCUCCCUUUUCAGGUCAGUGAAAUUGAUCUACCCGUGCAGAAGCGGGUAUAACAAUACAAGACGAGAAGACCCUUUGGAGCUUAAGGUACAAAACUCAACCACGUCAAGUAACUUAAUAAAAAGUAAAAACUUUGUGAGGCAUGAGAUUUUACCUUCGGUUGGGGCGACCACGGAGGAAAAAAAAGCCUCCAAGUGGACCGGGACAAACUCCUAAAACCAAGAGAGACAUCUCUAAGCCACAGAACAUCUGACCAAACAUGAUCCGGCCACCAGGACCGAUCAACGAACCAAGUUACCCUAGGGAUAACAGCGCAAUCCCCUCCCAGAGUCCAUAUCGACGAGGGGGUUUACGACCUCGAUGUUGGAUCAGGACAUCCUAAUGGUGCAGCCGCUAUUAAGGGUUCGUUUGUUCAACGAUUAAAGUCCUACGUGA
RNAcentral lists this ribosomal RNA (534 nucleotides) under Neolissochilus hexagonolepis (copper masheer). RNAcentral's name for it is "partial 16S ribosomal RNA". It matches the Rfam family "Bacterial large subunit ribosomal RNA", at positions 1918 to 2603 of the family's 2925-position model. Lineage: Eukaryota; Metazoa; Chordata; Actinopteri; Cypriniformes; Cyprinidae. The record is from RNAcentral.